This 254-nucleotide ribosomal RNA is filed under the name uncultured bacterium. Its description in RNAcentral is "partial 16S ribosomal RNA". It matches the Rfam family "Bacterial small subunit ribosomal RNA", at positions 524 to 776 of the family's 1533-position model. The record is from RNAcentral.
UACGUAGGGGGCAAGCGUUAUCCGGAUUUACUGGGUGUAAAGGGGGCGCAGACGGCCAUGGCAAGCCCGGUGUGAAGGGCAGGGGCAUAACCCCUGGACUGCACUGGGAACUGUCAGGCUGGAGUGCCGGAGGGGUAAGCGGAAUUCCUGGUGUAGCGGUGAAAUGCGUAGAUAUCAGGAGGAACACCGGCGGCGAAGGCGGCUUACUGGACGGCAACUGACGUUGAGGCCCGAAAGCGUGGGGAGCGAACAGG